This 943-nucleotide ribosomal RNA is filed under the name Streptomyces sp. RNAcentral describes it as "bacterial SSU rRNA". It matches the Rfam family "Bacterial small subunit ribosomal RNA", at positions 56 to 1011 of the family's 1533-position model. Lineage: Bacteria; Bacillati; Actinomycetota; Actinomycetes; Kitasatosporales; Streptomycetaceae. The record is from RNAcentral.
UGCGUGUCGAACGGUGAAGCCCUUCGGGGUGGAUCAGUGGCGAACGGGUGAGUAACACGUGGGCAAUCUGCCCUGCACUCUGGGACAAGCCCUGGAAACGGGGGCUAAUACCGGAUACGACCUUCCUCUGCAUGGGGGUUGGUGGAAAGCUCCGGCGGUGCAGGAUGAGCCCGCGGCCUAUCAGCUUGUUGGUGGGGUAAUGGCCUACCAAGGCGACGACGGGUAGCCGGCCUGAGAGGGCGACCGGCCACACUGGGACUGAGACACGGCCCAGACUCCUACGGGAGGCAGCAGUGGGGAAUAUUGCACAAUGGGCGAAAGCCUGAUGCAGCGACGCCGCGUGAGGGAUGACGGCCUUCGGGUUGUAAACCUCUUUCAGCAGGGAAGAAGCGCAAGUGACGGUACCUGCAGAAGAAGCACCGGCUAACUACGUGCCAGCAGCCGCGGUAAUACGUAGGGUGCGAGCGUUGUCCGGAAUUAUUGGGCGUAAAGAGCUCGUAGGCGGCCUGUCGCGUCGGAUGUGAAAGCCCGGGGCUUAACCCCGGGUCUGCAUUCGAUACGGGCAGGCUAGAGUGUGGUAGGGGAGAUCGGAAUUCCUGGUGUAGCGGUGAAAUGCGCAGAUAUCAGGAGGAACACCGGUGGCGAAGGCGGAUCUCUGGGCCAUUACUGACGCUGAGGAGCGAAAGCGUGGGGAGCGAACAGGAUUAGAUACCCUGGUAGUCCACGCCGUAAACGUUGGGAACUAGGUGUUGGCGACAUUCCACGUCGUCGGUGCCGCAGCUAACGCAUUAAGUUCCCCGCCUGGGGAGUACGGCCGCAAGGCUAAAACUCAAAGGAAUUGACGGGGGGCCCGCACAAGCAGCGGAGCAUGUGGCUUAAUUCGACGCAACGCGAAGAACCUUACUCAAGGCUUGACAUAUGCCGGAAACAUCCAGAGAUGGUG